AGUGAACGCUGGCGGUAGGCCUAACACAUGCAAGUCGAACGGCAGCACAGUAAGAGCUUGCUCUUACGGGUGGCGAGUGGCGGACGGGUGAGGAAUACAUCGGAAUCUACUUUUUCGUGGGGGAUAACGUAGGGAAACUUACGCUAAUACCGCAUACGAUCUACGGGUGAAAGCAGGGGAUCUUCGGAGCUUGCGCGAUUGAAUGAGCCGAUGUUGGAUUAGCUAGUUGGCGGGGUAAAGGCCAACGAAGGCGCCGAUCCGUAGCUGGUCUGAGAGGAUGAUCAGCCACACGGGAGCUGAGACACGGUCCAGGGUCCUACGGGAGGCAGCAGUGGGGAAUAUGGGACAGUGGGGGGGAGCCUGAGCCAACGGGAGCGCGUGGGUGAAGGAGGCCUCCGGGGUGUAAAGCCCGUUUGUUGGGAAAGAAAAGCAGCAGGUUGAUGCCACGCGUGUCUGACGGUACGGGAAGAAGAAGCACCGGCUAACUACGUG
RNAcentral lists this ribosomal RNA (492 nucleotides) under uncultured bacterium. Its description in RNAcentral is "partial 16S ribosomal RNA". It matches the Rfam family "Bacterial small subunit ribosomal RNA", at positions 30 to 507 of the family's 1533-position model. The record is from RNAcentral.